GUGAAUAUGCCCUGCCCCACCUUAACUGAUGACAUUUCACCACAAAAGAAGUGUAAAUGGCCGGUCCUUGCCUUAAGUGAUGACAUUACCUUGUGAAAGUCCUUUUCCUGGCCCAUCCUGGCUCAAAAAGCACCCCCACUGAGCACCUUGCGACCCCCACUCCUGCCCGCCAGAGAGCAAACCCCCUUUGACUGUAAUUUUUCUUUAUCUACCCAAAUCCUAUAAAACGGCCCCACCCUUAUCUCCCUUCGCUGACUCUCUUUUCCGACUCAGCCCGCCUGCAGACCCAUCUGACCUCUCCCCUCCUUGCCAGACUGAGCUAGGUCCCAAUUCUUCCUCAGCCUCUGCUCCUCCACCCUAUAAUCUUUUUAUCGCCUCCCCUCCUCACACCUGGUCCGGCUUACAGUUUUGUUCCGUGACUAGCCCUCCCCCACUUGCCCAGCAAUUUACUCUUAAAAAGGUGGCUAGAGCCAAAGGCAUAGUCAAGGUUAAUGCUCCUUUUUCUUUAUCCCAAAUCUGAUAGCGUUUAGGCUCUUUUUCAUCAAAUAUAAAAAUCCAGCCCAGUUCAUGACUUGCUUGGCAGCAACCCUGAGACACUUUACAGCCCUAGACCCUAAAAAGUCAAAAGGCCGUCUUAUUCUCAAAAUACAUUUUAUUACCCAAUCUGCUCCCGACAUUAAAUAAAACUCCAAAAAUUAAAUUCCGGCCCUCAAACCCCACAACAGGAUUUAAUUAACCUCGCCUUCAAGGUGUACAGUAAUAGAAACAAGUUGCAAUUCCUUGCCUCCACUGUGAGACAAACCCCAGCCACAUCUCCAGCACACAAGAACUUCCAAAUGCCUGAACAGCAGCGGCCAGGUGUUCCUCCAGAACCUCCUCCCACAGGAGCUUGCUACACGUGCCGGAAAUCUGGCCACUGGGCCAAGGAAUGCCCGCAGCCCGGGAUUCCUCCUAAGCCGUGUCCCAUCUGUGUGGGACUCCACUGAAAAUCGGACUGUUCAACUCACCUGGCAGCCACUCCCAGAGCCCCUGGAACUCUGGCCCAAGCCUCUCUGACUGACUCCUUCCCAGGUCUUCUCGGCUUAGCGGCUGAAGACUGACACUGCCGGAUCGCCUCGGAAGCCCCUUAGACCAUCACGGAUGCCGAGCUUCAGGAGCUUGACAUGAUUUCAUAGCCACACCUGGCCAGAAGGGAAAUAUGAUCUGUCAUUGGAUGCCCUACACCCAGAAGCAAGCAGAGAAUAUUACUGGCUAAUAUAUGAAAAGUCAUGAUAUAGGAAAUAAAUGUGGCUACAUGAGAGUCAACCUGCACAUUCCAAAGAAAGGCCUAUCUUCAGGAACGGCCCUCGAUGUACUUUUGGGAAAUGACUUCUGAGCCCUAGGAAUAUUAUGCUUGAUAUCAUUUUGGGGAGAAGUAAUUGCAUUCUCACACGACUCCACUGACUGGGAACACCUGGAAGCUUAUGCCCAUUUUCUCCUGGACUUUGCCCAUGUGCUUUUUUUCCUUUGCUGAUUUUGGUCUGUGUCCUUCUGCUGUAAUAAAUUGUAACUUCUAAUCAAGCCUAACCCAGCUGAGCGUCUCUUGGCACACAAGCUGAAGGGAGAGCAGGUGUUACCAAGUGCAACUCAAGCCAAUGGGAACCAAAGCCAACGGCUCAUCCUGAAAUGGAAAUCACAGCCUGUCUACAGAAUGAACACUAGUGAAGAAAGCAUUAGAGCUACCUCUAUCCAUCGUUUGGUAAUGUGUUUUUCUUUUUUUCCCUUCAGCCCUUCAUUGCAGUUCUGUAUUCCAUCUCUAAGUCAUUUUCAUCAAUGACCUUAAGAUCCUUCUAU
Molecule: long non-coding RNA, 1833 nt
Organism: Gorilla gorilla gorilla (western lowland gorilla)
Lineage: Eukaryota; Metazoa; Chordata; Mammalia; Primates; Hominidae
Exons: 5
Source: RefSeq, a predicted model, not a curated record